This 212-nucleotide ribosomal RNA is filed under the name uncultured bacterium. RNAcentral describes it as "partial 16S ribosomal RNA". It matches the Rfam family "Bacterial small subunit ribosomal RNA", at positions 1288 to 1500 of the family's 1533-position model. The record is from RNAcentral.
UCAGUUCGGAUUGAAGGCUGAAAUUCGCCUUCAUGAAGCCGGAAUCGCUAGUAAUGGCAGGUCAGCAUACUGCCGUGAAUACGUUCCCGGGCCUUGUACACACCGCCCGUCACACCAUGGGAGCCGGUAAUACCCGAAGUCAGUAGUCCAACCUCGUGAGGACGCUGCCGAAGGUAGGAUUGGCGACUGGGGUGAAGUCGUAACAAGGUAUC